This 409-nucleotide ribosomal RNA is filed under the name uncultured bacterium. RNAcentral's name for it is "bacterial SSU rRNA". It matches the Rfam family "Bacterial small subunit ribosomal RNA", at positions 506 to 916 of the family's 1533-position model. The record is from RNAcentral.
UGCCAGCAGCCGCGGUAAUACGAGGGGGGCAAGCGUUGUUCGGAUUUAUUGGGCGUAAAGGGUGCGUAGGCGGUUUGAUAAGUCUGGUGUGAAAUCUUUGGGCUCAACCCAAAGUCUGCACUAGAAACUGUCGGGCUUGAGUAUGGGAGAGGUGAGUGGAAUUUCCGGUGUAGCGGUGAAAUGCGUAGAUAUCGGAAGGAACACCUGUGGCGAAAGCGGCUCACUGGACCAUUACUGACGCUGAGGCACGAAAGCUAGGGGAGCAAACAGGAUUAGAUACCCUGGUAGUCCUAGCCCUAAACGAUGAUUGCUUGAUGUGGCAGGUACCCAAUCCUGCCGUGUCGAAGCUAACGCGAUAAGCAAUCCGCCUGGGGAGUACGGUCGCAAGGCUAAACUCAAAGAAUGACGG